GAAAGGACGGGUAAUACCGGAUACCCCGGGGUGCCGCAUGGCACCCCGGCUAAAGCCCCGACGGGAGGGGAUGGCUCCGCGGCCCAUCAGGUAGACGGCGGGGUGACGGCCCACCGUGCCGACAACGGGUAGCCGGGUUGAGAGACCGACCGGCCAGAUUGGGACUGAGACACGGCCCAGACUCCUACGGGAGGCAGCAGUGGGGAAUCUUGCGCAAUGGGGGGAACCCUGACGCAGCGACGCCGCGUGCGGGACGGAGGCCUUCGGGUCGCAAACCGCUUUCAGCAGGGAAGAGUCAAGACUGUACCUGCAGAAGAAGCCCCGGCUAACUACGUGCCAGCAGCCGCGGUAAUACGUAGGGGGCGAGCGUUAUCCGGAUUCAUUGGGCGUAAAGCGCGCGUAGGCGGCCCGGCAGGCCGGGGGUCGAAGCGGGGGGCUCAACCCCCCGAAGCCCCCGGAACCUCCGCGGCUUGGGUCCGGUAGGGGAGGGUGGAACACCCGGUGUAGCGGUGGAAUGCGCAGAUAUCGGGUGGAACACCGGUGGCGAAGGCGGCCCUCUGGGCCGAGACCGACGCUGAGGCGCGAAAGCUGGGGGAGCGAACAGGAUUAGAUACCCUGGUAGUCCCAGCCGUAAACGAUAACGCUAGGUGUGGGGGGACGAUCCCCCCGUGCC
RNAcentral lists this ribosomal RNA (673 nucleotides) under uncultured bacterium. RNAcentral describes it as "partial 16S ribosomal RNA". It matches the Rfam family "Bacterial small subunit ribosomal RNA", at positions 153 to 847 of the family's 1533-position model. The record is from RNAcentral.